This 271-nucleotide ribosomal RNA is filed under the name uncultured bacterium. Its description in RNAcentral is "partial 16S ribosomal RNA". It matches the Rfam family "Bacterial small subunit ribosomal RNA", at positions 336 to 604 of the family's 1533-position model. The record is from RNAcentral.
UUCCUACGGGACGCAGCAGUGAGGAAUAUUGGUCAAUGGGCGAGAGCCUGAACCAGCCAAGUCGCGUGAGGGAUGACUGCCCUAUGGUUUGUAAACCUCUUUUGUAUGGGGGGAAUAAGCUUUACGAGUAGAGUGAUGACAGUACCCUACGAAUCAGCGUCGGCUACCUCCGUGCCAGCAGCCGCGGUAAUACGGAGGAUGCGAGCGUUAUCCGGAUUUAUUGGGUUUAAAGGGUGCGUAGGCGGCAUUAUAAGUUAGUGGUAAAAUCUUG